GGGGAUGUAGCUCAGCUGGGAGAGCGCGGCGUUCGCAACGCCGAGGUCGUGGGUUCGAGCCCCAUCAUCUCCACCA
RNAcentral lists this transfer RNA (76 nucleotides) under Desulfatirhabdium butyrativorans. Its description in RNAcentral is "tRNA-Ala". It matches the Rfam family "tRNA". From Rfam's summary of the family: Transfer RNA (tRNA) molecules are approximately 80 nucleotides in length. Lineage: Bacteria; Pseudomonadati; Thermodesulfobacteriota; Desulfobacteria; Desulfobacterales; Desulfatirhabdiaceae. RNAcentral also lists the same sequence under 1 other name. The record is from RNAcentral.